RNAcentral lists this ribosomal RNA (91 nucleotides) under Streptococcus pneumoniae. Its description in RNAcentral is "partial 23S ribosomal RNA". It matches the Rfam family "Bacterial large subunit ribosomal RNA", at positions 2834 to 2925 of the family's 2925-position model. Lineage: Bacteria; Bacillati; Bacillota; Bacilli; Lactobacillales; Streptococcaceae. RNAcentral also lists the same sequence under 1 other name. The record is from RNAcentral.
GCCCUGAGAGAUGAUCAGGUAGAUAGGUUAGAAGUGGAAGUGUGGCGACACAUGUAGCGGACUAAUACUAAUAGCUCGAGGACUUAUCCAA